Molecule: ribosomal RNA, 331 nt
Filed under: uncultured bacterium
Lineage: Bacteria
Description: bacterial SSU rRNA
Rfam family: Bacterial small subunit ribosomal RNA
Source: RNAcentral
AGGGUUUGAUUCUGGCUCAGGACGAACGCUGGCGGCGCGCCUAACACAUGCAAGUCGAACGAGAGAGAGGGAGCUUGCUUCCUUGAUCGAGUGGCGAACGGGUGAGUAACGCGUGAGGAACCUGCCUCAAAGAGGGGGACAACAGUUGGAAACGACUGCUAAUACCGCAUAAGCCCACGACCCGGCAUCGGGAAGAGGGAAAAGGAGCAAUCCGCUUUGAGAUGGCCUCGCGUCCGAUUAGCUAGUUGGUGAGGUAACGGCCCACCAAGGCGACGAUCGGUAGCCGGACUGAGAGGUUGAACGGCCACAUUGGGACUGAGACACGGCCCAG